AGAAUGAACGCUAGCGAUAUGCUUAACACAUGCAAGUUGAACGUUGUUUUCGAAUCAGAAUGAGAACAAAGUAGCGAACGGGUGCGUAACACGUGGGAAUCUGCCGAACAGUUUGGGCCAAAUCCCGAAUGAAUAAAAGCUAAAAAGCGCUGUUUGAUGAGCCCACGUAGUAUUAGGUAGUUGGUUAGGUAAAAGCUGACCAAGCCUACGAUGCUUAGCUGGUCUUUUCGGAUGAUCAGCCACACUGGGACUGAGACACGGCCCAGACUCCUACGGGAGGCAGCAGUGGGGAAUCUUGGACAAUGGGCGAAAGCCUGAUCCGGCAAUAUGGCGUGAGUGAAGAAGGGCAACGCAGCUUGUAAAGCUCUUUCAUCGAGUGUGCGAUUGUGACAAGACUCGAAUAAGAACGCCCCGGCUAACCUCCGCGCCAGCAGCCGC
Molecule: ribosomal RNA, 438 nt
Filed under: uncultured bacterium
Lineage: Bacteria
Description: SSU rRNA
Rfam family: Bacterial small subunit ribosomal RNA
Source: RNAcentral